CCCGGGGUGGGUGUCGGACACCUCGACGCGGACGACGCCGGCCGAGCGGUCGUAGCCGAGCCGCAGUUCGAAGUCGCGCCCGGGGAC
This 87-nucleotide transfer RNA is filed under the name Streptomyces spongiicola. RNAcentral's name for it is "tRNA-Val". The record is from RNAcentral. Lineage: Bacteria; Bacillati; Actinomycetota; Actinomycetes; Kitasatosporales; Streptomycetaceae.